This 444-nucleotide ribosomal RNA is filed under the name uncultured bacterium. RNAcentral describes it as "partial 16S ribosomal RNA". It matches the Rfam family "Bacterial small subunit ribosomal RNA", at positions 354 to 796 of the family's 1533-position model. The record is from RNAcentral.
GUAGGGAAUAUUGGGCAAUGGUCGGAAGACUGACCCAGCCAUGCCGCGUGCAGGAAGACGACCCUCUGGGUUGUAAACUGCUUUUAUCUGGGAAGAAAAAGGCCAUGCGUGGCAAAUUGCCGGUACCAGAUGAAUAAGCACCGGCUAACUCCGUGCCAGCAGCCGCGGUAAUACGGAGGGUGCGAGCGUUGUCCGGAUUUAUUGGGUUUAAAGGGUGCGUAGGCGGCUGAUUAAGUCAGCGGUGAAAGACUUCGGCUUAACCGGAGCAGUGCCGUUGAUACUGGUUGGCUUGAGUGCCGGAGGGGUACAUGGAAUUGAUGGUGUAGCGGUGAAAUGCAUAGAUACCAUCAGGAACACCGAUAGCGAAGGCAUUGUACUGGCCGACAACUGACGCUGAUGCACGAAAGUGUGGGGAUCGAACAGGAUUAGAAACCCUAGUAGUCC